Oryzias melastigma (Indian medaka) is the source of this 320-nucleotide long non-coding RNA. RefSeq lists it as uncharacterized. Lineage: Eukaryota; Metazoa; Chordata; Actinopteri; Beloniformes; Adrianichthyidae. The record is from RefSeq and is a predicted model, not a curated record. The transcript is spliced from 3 exons.
CUUUGGAAUAUCCCAUUUCUAAAGUGCAAGUAAACGCAUCAGACCUGAUUUAUCUGAUUAAACCUACUGUUUAUAUUUUGGGGGAUAAUAUUACAAGAGUUAAAGUUGUAUCUAUAGGCAGACAACAUAUUUUGAUCAUCUGGUGAUGGUUGGAUGCAAACUGAACUUUUGUGGAAAAAAAUCCUGACAGAAUCCUUACCCAAGUCCAAACGCUUCACCACAUCGUCCCGAUAGCUUCUCUACAGAUAUUCUUGGACCCACAGCUUUGCUCGGUGAGCAGACACUUCUGGACAGAAUUAUGCUUGAAUGCAAGUUGAUCC